Molecule: long non-coding RNA, 1653 nt
Filed under: Taeniopygia guttata (zebra finch)
Lineage: Eukaryota; Metazoa; Chordata; Aves; Passeriformes; Estrildidae
Description: lncRNA (ENSTGUG00000019281.1)
Source: RNAcentral
AUGCUGCCUCUGUUGUCAACCAGGUCAAAACUCCUGCAUAAUUCCUCAUAUACAUCUCACUUCCCAGCAGAGAGAAACGAAACCCCUUUCUGGACCUUAGAUGAGCAUGAGGGAGAGACCCAAUUUCUGAUGCUUCUAGGGAGGAGCAUGGCCUCAACAGAGGAAGAAGGAGUGUCCUGCUCUCAGUGUAAUGGUUGCUCUUCAGCAUUUGGCCAAGGUCAGACAGGUGAGAGAGAAUUUUUUCUGAAGUUUCUAGUGUCCCUAAUAAAUUUUUUAAAUUAUAGUAAAGGGCAAUAACUUUUUUUAACUAGCAAAUACAUUUUUAGUGUCAACAGAAAAUGGUGCCUGUGAAUUUGGAUGUUACUCUGAUUUUUUAUGAUUGCUUUUGGCUUCUAUAUUUGGUGCAAGGGGUAGCCAUGUCCCAGAAAAAAAUAUGCUUGCUCUUUUUAACCAAAUUCCAUAGGCUGAAAUUUAUCCAUGGUAAAUGUUUCACAGUACAGUAAAUUAUGCAGGAUGUUCUACACAAACAUCCUUUACUCUCAGAAAUUAAGAUGAGCACUCAGUAGCACAAGUACAUGGUAUAGCCAUCCAAUUGUUUGUGUUUCCCCCAGGAAUUCAACACUUUUCACAAAUAGCUACACUUUACAGUUCUAUUACACAAGUGCUGUGACCCCACAGGACAACCACAAAGGUAGGGUGAACACCUCUCGUUCUGUUUUAUAGGUACUUAGCACUUAGGAAAUGCAAGCUCAAGGCAGGCUGUGAGGAACAUCUUCUCUUACAGAAGUCUUUCUGGAAAGCCAAUGUAAAUUAUUUGCUCAAAUAUUAGUGGUCAGUCAAGCGGUCAGUGGCCAAUGCAGCCAUUGGGUUGGCGGGUUCCCUUGCUCCAUGGUAAAGUCCCUCUGCAAUAGCCCAGCCUCUCCCUGGUUUGUUUUUCUGUUUCAUGUUAGGCAUUAAACCCUUUGCUAUGACAUGCCAUUGCCAGUGUGCCAAAUCCUGAGCAAAUCACAUCCUCUGUUUUUCUGUUGCAGAUUUGUGAGAUAAUCUAUUAUAGAUUAAUCAUUUCAGUCUUGUGGUGCAAUGUCAAAAAUAAACUGGGGUUAUGAAGCUGGAGGGGAGCCACUUGGGGGUCGUGUGCUCUCACUGACGCUCCUUAUUUGACUUUGAAAACAGCGUCAUGACAAGAUUUUUGAAGCUGGUUGUUACCCCAUGGAAUCCAAAUCACAAGGUAAAAAUGCUGUGGAGUAAGUUUUCAUCUUCACAAAUAUCAGCUCAGUGUUGAACUGUAAACGAUUUUCAAGCUAUCGCCUUCCCUCUCCUCACAACAUGAAACAUAUCUGGGUUGAUCCAUUACAUCUCUUUAGAAUAUAAUGGAUAGAUGGCAGAAAAAUAAACAGAAUAAAAUAAAAAGCCAACCCCUUUUAAGGACUGAAUAUCUGCUGGAGAUGGAGGUAUCCAACAUAGAAAAAUAAUACAGGCCAGGAACGCAGCCAAAUAUACUGUAAGAAAAUAUUAAUUUGCAUAACUUUAAAUAUUCUCUAACAUUUCAUAAGAUCCCAAAUGUUGAACAGUGAGUAAUUUGUCUAAUACUGCAGUUCUUAUUGCCCUCCCAGCUGAAUCACAGUAAGUCCUUGGUGUCUCCAAACCAGAGCA